This 7216-nucleotide long non-coding RNA is filed under the name Linum usitatissimum (flax). RNAcentral's name for it is "long non-coding RNA (LUSI_LNC002747)". The record is from RNAcentral. Lineage: Eukaryota; Viridiplantae; Streptophyta; Magnoliopsida; Malpighiales; Linaceae.
CGGCUUCCUUGAUGGCCUCGACGAGCUUGAGCUGGAGGAGGAUGUUAUGCGACCGGAAAUGAACCCCCGACAUGGUACAUAUCACAACAUCAACGAGCUUCACCGCUCGAACAAGGCUCUCGUGGUCAGAGAAGGAGGCCUCGACAAGGUGGGCGCCCUGUUUCUUGAAAGACAACAAGAGCUGGAGCUUUUCGAUGUCGAGGCCAGUCUCGGGUCGCUUGAGAACAUAAGUGUCGUGGCCAUGUUCGAGGCUAGCCUUGACGAUCCGCUUGCCUAUGUACCCGGUACCUCCCACCACCAGCACUCUGCACUGCCUCAUGAUCGACCGAUUUAGAAAGUGGGUUGGAUUUCUUUGAUCAGAGUUCCUUAUGAUUAUGAUCAAAUUCUUUCUCUCUGUGGGAUUUGGGUAAUGUGUUGGAUGUAUUUAUAGAAGGGGAAACAGCGGUUCGGUUCGGUUCGGUUCAACAACAUGGAGCUCUCCCACCAACCGGUUGGACGGGGAUGGGAUUGUUUCCGUUUGUUUCACAUUUAAGCAAUAGGAAUCGAAUAACAAAAGACUGUUAAGACUUGAGACAAAGAAUUAAAAUGUGAAUGUUUUGGAUUAUUGUAAAAAUGGAUGGGAUUUUGAGAGAACUGAAAUUUCGGUUUAAGAGAUUUUGGCACCAACAUGAUUUUUUUUUUUAAUUAUGAGAGUUUUUUGUACUUUUUAUUGAGUGUGGCUAACCGCUUUGGUAACUGUCGUACAUGUUGUCUGAUAAGAGGGACAGAUUCCACAAAUGAAAUUACAUGAAUCGCCGACACUUUACAAAAUAAAAACUGUUUCAAUUCUUUCUCUUCAUUAAAACUAUUUGACAAGGAGAGAUAGAAAUCGAGAUUACUAACGAAAAAAGCAAAGCAAAACAAAAAACAGGACGAAAAGAUUUAAAAACGAAACUAGAAAAAAUAAUACGUUUUGUUGGAGUCGUUGGGGCUAUUAUUAAUCAGUCGUUUGGGCUACAAGUUCCACGAAAUUACAUGCAUAUAUUCCAAUAAGCGUCGAGAAUUGGUUGUUAGUUUCUGAGAAAAGAGAAGAUUACCCACAUUUUUCUUAGCAUUCUUUAAAAAGAAAGUGACAACCCAUCUAAUUAAUCUCUUGUUAUCUUGCUAGAUUAAGCUAACAAUUCUCUUAACGUAUAUCGUUUGAUAUCAAAUGAAUUAAAAAUUUAUUUUAUUGAAUUAUUUGUAGAAUUCAUUUUCAAAUUAAUUCCUAUGUUUAAAAUGUUAUAUUCAAUUUUUAAAAAUAAAUUGAAUUAAAUUCCCAAAUUAUAUUUGGUAUACGAUUCAAAAUUGAAUUAAAUCAAAAGUUUUCACAUGUAUCCUUUCAACACACUAGACAUUACUAUUCCUCGUUGAGUGGAAGAGUUUAUUAAGUUAAUAACUAUUUCUAUUUUAACACUUUUUCCCCAUACCCCGACAUAUACUAAAAAAAUAAUAAAAAUUAACAAAAACGAAUGCAUUUGAUGACAGCUAUAAUAAUUAAUAUAGAAAAUGUGAUCGUUAUUGAAUGAAGAAGAAUAAGAAAGGAGAUAUCUAACCUUUUUUAGAUUGGUGCUUUGUUGUCGGCAACAAAAAUGAGAAGGUUUAAGCAAAUAAAUAGUCGGUCAACUCUAAUUAUAUAUAUUAGGUUUGAUGGUUAUGAUGUUAAUUUAAUUAUUAGUUGAUGGUAGAUAAGUCAUUUUAAUACCAUUUUAACGUAAUUAGUAUAUUUUUGUGAAAUUCAUUUCAAAAUACCUAAUAAAUUCCACGGAAUUGCUAACACUAGCAUCAAUCUCGCGGAAUUCAAAAUUUAAAAUUGAAAAUGAAUUCCUUUACAAACCAAACACAAAAACAUUCAAUUCGAAAUGAAUUUUAUAAAAAAUUUAGAAAUUCAUUUAUACCAAUCAAGAGUAUUGCUUUUGUAAAAUUUCAUAAUUUUUGUAUCACAUAAUUUUUGUAUCACAUAGCAAGCGUAGUUGGUUCGCAACCAUCAUGAACACAAGCAAGAACAUCCCUAUACUCCCUUUCAAUCGUGAACCAAUCAUAAACCUUUCCAUCGCUACUCCUCUUAUACUCUAACAACAACGACGAGUGAUUAUAAGCCGUCAGCUUCACAAAUCCGUAAUCUCGAUCCCUGUAAACGCUCCAGUACGUCUGCAGCGGACUGAAAUCCGAUAAAUGGCUCCCUCCGCCUCCGACCACAACAUGUAUUGUUCCGUUGACAGUGCCAGAAUAGUGCGUCUUCUCGUUGUUCACGCAUAUGUUCUGGUAUAUGGGGCAGCUCCUCUCGUAGUUAUGGACGUGGCCGAAGAAGGCUAUGUCCACUUUGUACUUCUGCCAUAGCUUCUGCAUGUCGUCUCUUCCCAUUGGCUCAUCGAACGAGCCUUGCGAUGCGUAGAAAGUGCUGGAAGAGUAGCCGAGGACUCGGUGUGCUAUGAAGAUCAGCCAUGGCUGCUUUUGUCUGUCGGCCGAUGCUAGGCACUUUUCGAUGUGUUUGUAUUGUUCGGAGCCUUGUCUCCAGUCGUGUUCCGUGUCUGCUAUGCAGAAAUGGAACAUUCCGUAAUCUGUUUCGUACCUGUGGAGUGGAAUGUAAAUCAGUAUAUUACUCACUAUACAAACCUGCUGCUGUUAUAGCUAGUUAUUGUUUAGAGAUGUAUACAGUACUGACCAAAACUUAGCUCUGUUAUCUGCUGGAACGUAGAACAUUGUCUCGGCCACCACUCCACAUUCACCGCCUGAAUCAUUCGUGUCGUAAAAGGAUCCCGAACCAGGGUAGUCACGUUCAUGAUUCCCACUGCAAAUAAAAGAAUGAAUAUUGCGAACCCCAAACAAACAGCACAAGCUCGAUCGUAGAAGCAUUUCGGUUCAUAAAGGACAAACCUUGCGACCAUGUAAGGCACGGUUGAAGCUAUAGGCUCGACCAUUUGUGUGAAUUGAUCCCAUUGAGAGAUGUAUCCAUUGGCAUAUGAAAGAUCUCCUAUAUGGAAAACUAUGUCAUAGUUGUCCAAGUCAUUGAUGAGUGUAUCUGUUGUGUUGAGUGACCCUGGCUGGUAAUUGCUGUAUUCAUUCGAACCGUCACGUUCAGCCUAAUAAGAUUAAACAAGAUAAUCAUCAUCAUGCACAUGUUUCAUGAUCAUCCAGAACUUAGGAAGUUCGUAAUUAGUCGUUACCUUCCCCAUAUCACCGAAAAUUAUUACGCGUUGCAACGAAUCCUGUCCCGGAUAAGGAGACGAUUUGAAAGAAUGGAUCUUGCUCCAGAUAAUGGAGCCAUUAUGCAGCUUAUGCCCUAGCUGGUAUGUGUACCUGAUAAUCAAUUUUCCCAACAAUUUGAGCUUAAUUAAAGCUGUUUACUUGAAAGAAAGAGAAUUCGAAUUCUUACACGGAGUUUGGCCAGAGAUCUUUCAUGAAAGUGGUGUGGAAGAAACCAGGAUCACGCCAGCCAACUGUUCUAGCAGGUGGACCUUCACAAACAUUUCAAAGUUUGCAACUUUAAAACGACAUAAAGAAACAAAUAACAGAUAGUAAUCUGUUAUAUAUGAAGAAUCCAUACCACACAUGCUGUUUCUAGUAAAAGUGAGUGUUCCAGCGGGUGAUUGAGUAUGUGCUUCCCCUUUGAGACCCCAUUGAACAAAAGGAACAGCUUCAUCAAUGUUGUAGCCGCUCGUCCAUGUCACAGUCAUCUGCAUUAUAAAAUAGUUUAAUAAAGAGAUCGUAGCAGGAAAUCCAUGGUAUAAUAACUGAUCUACGUACUUCAUUCCAAGAUUUUCCCAGAGCAAGACGAGGAUAAAGGGGCGCCUUUGGGUUGGCGAAGCUAAUGGGUUGUGACAUUGCCACCAGUUUUGGCUGCACAAUGAAAAUGAAGCAAGUUCAGUUCACAAAUCAAUCCAAAGUAUGAAUCUUUUGAGAAAUCGAUCUUAAUUAAGACUUGUGCCUUAUUACAUUUGAGAGUCCACCGGUAAAGAGGGCAAAGGAGAAGUCUUGGCGCUGGUUGAUGAGUUGAAACUUCAAAGACCCGUUUCCUGUGCUCUCAUUCGCCCAUUUAUACUUAAUGGGAGCAGAACAUAUGUAUGGCGGCUGGACUCUCCUUUCAUCACCUGCUGGACAGGAUGACGAGCUAUUUUUCCAUAUCCACCAACAAACAACAAGGAUUUUAGUGAUUCAAAAUUGGGGGGAGCAGAAAAGAAGAGAGAGAGCUUUGAGAAAGUUGAUUACUUGAAAUUGGAAGGAGAGAAGACGGCAAUCCAAGCAUCAUCUCCUGAGUGGCCGCCAAAAUCCACAUACACCCAUUGAGUGUCUUCUCCGUUGGUUCCGAGAAGUGCAGGGGCUGGCUUAAUUGAAGCCGUGUCCUGAAGAGCAAACACAGCAUUGUGGAUUCCUAUCUGGGUUAAGGGCUGGCUAAUACUUGCAGAAGCUCUACCAUCAUUCAACAACAACAACAACAACAAUGGCAGCAGCAGAAGAAGAAGACCCGCCAAUUCCAUCUUUCAAGCUGCUUGCUUCAGAAGGUUCCCUGCAAACUCUUUUUUGCAGACAAUUUGUUUAAAUUGUUGGGGUAGGAAAGGAACGAAGGAAGAAGACAUAUGGCAAUCAUCGCCGCCUUCCUUCCUCAACAUUGGUUUUUCCACAACAGAAGCCACAAAGCUUGGGGAGCUAGGUUGUUCUUUUUGUCGGCUUGGACAAAUUUGUGGAAUUGGGUAAUCCAUCCAUUUGGGAGUCUGCUGAUACGUUUUGCAUUCUCAUUUGCUUAAUUGGCCUUUCUAACCAGCCGGCUGGAAGUUCGAUUACACUAAUUUUAGGCUUAAUACUCCAAAAUAACAUCUGACUUAUGCAGAACCGCCCUAAACGGCUUUAAAGAUUUAUGUUUACAUCGCUUCAAUAAAUUAUAUGUGCAGAUUGGGUAUAUCGUGAUUUAACACGAAAACCUUUCAGUUAUAUAAGGUUCUGAUAUCAUAUCAAAAAUCAUUACAUCUUAAUAAUUCGAAUUACUGAGAAACGAUUUUAAUUAAUAUUUAUAUAUUCAAAAUAGCAUGGAAGCGAUGAACCAAUGACUUACUACAAAAAUUUGUUUAUUAUUUAUUGAAUCACAUACCUCUAGUUUCAUAUUUUCAACCUUCUGAACAGUUUUGGGAACUACAUAAUCAUUAUUCUUUAGACUAUGUAUUAGAAUGUUCGGUACAAUUUGGAUAUAAUGAUUUUUUGUUUAUCACAAUUCAACUUAUUAAUAGUUUAAUGANNNNNNNNNNNNNNNNNNNNNNNNNNNNNNNNNNNNNNNNNNNNNNNNNNNNNNNNNNNNNNNNNNNNNNNNNNNNNNNNNNNNNNNNNNNNNNNNNNNNNNNNNNNNNNNNNNNNNNNNNNNNNNNNNNNNNNNNNNNNNNNNNNNNNNNNNNNNNNNNNNNNNNNNNNNNNNNNNNNNNNNNNAAAGCAAAAUAAUUCAUUCAAACACACCCACUAAAAAAUCUUAUCUAAACCUACCACCAAAAUUGACCAUUAACUCAAACAAAGAAACAAGAUUAUUCAUAAGAAAAAGAACAAGAUUUCUUCAAAUCCAAAUCAAAAUCCCCACAGAAGUCCAAGUUGUUGAAAUCAAAAGCUUGGCUACGACUUUCGCCAAAAGCUCAUAUAUAUAUAUAUAUAUAAAAGUAAAAACACAUGUGUCCAAUAAUCACAAAGCACAAAUCUUUUUCAAAUAGUACAUGCACAUCCAUAAAUAGACCAAAUUUUAUUUUAAAGGUAGAUCAUCAGAUAAUCUUUCAUACGAAUGUAUUCAACUUCAGGGUAUAAACUCGAAGCUUCUACUUGAUCUUGGGCAGCGUCGAUGUCAAAGUUGGUGAGACAUCCUUCGUAGUAGAUGUGGUAGAGGUGCCCUAUUACGACCUGCUCCGCUACGUCCUUCCCUGUAUGACAAAACCGAAACUUAAUAAGAUGGGUUCUUUCAUGAAAUAUUUUUGAUGUAUCAUGUAUGAUGUUAUAUUAGAUGAGAAAAUGGAUGAGUUGCGAUAUUUUCCAUUUCACUAGCUAGAUUGACAAAGAUGUUGGUAUUGUUGGGUAAUAAUGUGUCGAAUUUAGGGUGUAAUUUCUGCCCAACCCUAUUCUUAGUUGCUACCUAGCCCCGAAUCGUGUUGAAUCAAGUGCGAACAGAAAAUCGAUUCGGAUGACUUACCUUCCAUGAGUGCAAGAAAGUCUUGUGAAGAAAGCUCAGUCUUUUGAAGUUGGUUGCCUGAGAGCUUUUCCCAAGUCUCCACUAAUUGCCUAUGAGUAAUCACAUUUUCCGGUGGCCGGAGGUACAUCGUCUUGUUAAGUGUCCGAUCAUCCUCUAUCGUCAUGAUCGUGUAAGUAGCGACAUCAUCUUCAUCCAUGUACACCACUGUAUCAAACAUCAAAUCAAUGAGAUUAUAUUAAUACUAAUCUAACAUUGAUUGAUUGAUUGAAUAACAAAAGUCAAUAAUUUGAUGUUUGUCCUUUUUUGUAUAUAGUUCAAUACCUUUGACGUUGCCAUCUCCAUAGAUGGUGACCUUAUCGGAAGGAGGGGUUAGAGGUCCGAGUUGCGAAAGAUUGCCGACGAAAUAACCUCCAAAGCAGUUGGCCGAGAUGUAAGUGUGGGGGAUAUUCGCGUCCUCGAUCGCUUUCCUCACCACCAUCUUCAGAUCGAACGUCUCCCUCCCUGGCUCCAAUGCAUCCCCCAUCCUCGCCGGGUCCAUCCCGAACUCCGAUGGAAUGAAUCUCUGCAUCGAUCAACAAUAUUCGAAACGGUUACACACACAAUUUCAUCGUUAAGACAAGGUCUUGUCGACAGAGACUGAUGCUAGCUAGCUCGCCCAAUCACGAGGGUAGCCACGUACCUUAACAUUUCCGGCCUCUUUGAUGGCCUCGACCAACUUGAGCUGGAGGAGGAGGCUGCGUGAAUGAGCCCCCGAGACGGUACAUAUCACGACAUCGACUAGCUUCACCGCUCGAACAAGGCUCUCGUGGUCAGAGAAGGAGGCCUCGACGAGGUGGGCGCCCUGUUUCUUGAAAGACAACAAGAGCUGGAAUUUUUCAAUAUCGAGCCCCGUCUCAGGUCGCUUGAGGACGUAAGUGUCGUGGCCGUGUUCGAUGCUAGCCUUGACGAUCCGCUUGCCUAUGUACCCGGUACCUCCCACCACCAGAACUCUGCACCGCCCCAUGAUCGAUCGAGAGGAUUGGUUGGAUUUCUCUUGUCGAA